RNAcentral lists this ribosomal RNA (288 nucleotides) under Triticum aestivum (bread wheat). RNAcentral describes it as "partial small subunit ribosomal RNA". The record is from RNAcentral. Lineage: Eukaryota; Viridiplantae; Streptophyta; Magnoliopsida; Poales; Poaceae.
AUGUGUGUCACAAAGAAUAAAGGUGGAUUGGGCUUAAGAGACCUUCACAACUUUAAUCUUGCUAUGUUAGCAAAGCAGUGUUGGCGACUUCUUCAAAAUCCGGACUCUUUGUGUGCACGAGUUUUGAGUGCAAAAUACUACCCUAACGGGGACAUCCUAAAAGCGGGACCGAAGAAAGGGUCUUCAUUUACAUGGCAAAGUAUUUUAGCCGGGGUUCAGACUUUCAAAAGGGGCUGCAUAUGGCAAAUUGGAUCUGGCUCACACAUCAAUAUUUGGGAAGAUCCAUAG